GACGUAGGGUCCAAGCGUUGUCCGGAUUUACUGGGCGUACAGAGCGCGUAGGCGGCUCGUUAAGUGUGAAGUGAAAUCUCCAGGGCUCAACCCGGAAACUGCUUUACAUACUGGCGAGCUGGAGUGAUGCAGAGGUUUGUGGAAUUCCUGGUGUAACGGUGAAAUGUGUUGAUAUCAGGAGGAACACCCAUGGCGAAGGCAGCAAACUGGGCAUCAACUGACGCUGAGGCGCGAAAGCGUGGGUAGCAAACAGG
RNAcentral lists this ribosomal RNA (254 nucleotides) under uncultured bacterium. RNAcentral describes it as "partial 16S ribosomal RNA". It matches the Rfam family "Bacterial small subunit ribosomal RNA", at positions 524 to 776 of the family's 1533-position model. The record is from RNAcentral.